This 258-nucleotide ribosomal RNA is filed under the name uncultured Glomus. RNAcentral's name for it is "partial 18S ribosomal RNA". It matches the Rfam family "Eukaryotic small subunit ribosomal RNA", at positions 624 to 886 of the family's 1831-position model. The record is from RNAcentral. Lineage: Eukaryota; Fungi; Glomeromycota; Glomeromycetes; Glomerales; Glomeraceae.
AAGCUCGUAGUUGAAUUUCGGGGUUAGUAGGUUGGUCAUGCCUCUGGUAUGUACUGGUCUCACUGAUUCCUCCUUCCUGAUGAACCGUAAUGCCAUUAAUUUGGUGUUGCGGGGAAUUUGGACUGUUACUUUGAAAAAAUUAGAGUGUUUAAAGCAAGCUAACGCUUGAAUACAUUAGCAUGGAAUAAUGAGAUAGGACGUUCGAUCCUAUCUUGUUGGUUUCUAGGAUUGACGUAAUGAUUAAUAGGGAUAGUUGGG